RNAcentral lists this ribosomal RNA (1868 nucleotides) under Pseudoalteromonas sp. SG43-6. RNAcentral's name for it is "partial 23S ribosomal RNA". It matches the Rfam family "Bacterial large subunit ribosomal RNA", at positions 1094 to 2925 of the family's 2925-position model. Lineage: Bacteria; Pseudomonadati; Pseudomonadota; Gammaproteobacteria; Alteromonadales; Pseudoalteromonadaceae. The record is from RNAcentral.
CAGGAGGUUGGCUUAGAAGCAGCCAUCCUUUAAAGAAAGCGUAAUAGCUCACUGGUCGAGUCGGUCUGCGCGGAAGAUGUAACGGGGCUAAACUAUGCACCGAAGCUGCGGAUUCAGAAUUUAUUCUGAGUGGUAGGGGAGCGUUCUGUAAGCGGUUGAAGGUGUACCGGGAGGUAUGCUGGACGUAUCAGAAGUGCGAAUGCUGACAUGAGUAACGAUAAUGCGGGUGAAAAACCCGCACGCCGGAAGACCAAGGGUUCCUAUCCCAUGUUAAUCAGGGUAGGGUAAGUCGACCCCUAAGGCGAGGCCGAAAGGCGUAGUCGAUGGGAAACGGAUUAAUAUUUCCGUACUUGGUAUAAUUGCGAUGGGGGGACGGAGCAGGCUAAGCAAGCAUGGCGUUGGUAGUCCAUGUGAAAGUGAGUAGGCUAGCGACUUAGGUAAAUCCGGGUUGCUGUUAGGCUGAGACACGAGACGAGUCACUAAGGUGAUGAAGUUGCUGAUGCCAUACUUCCAGGAAAAGCCUCUAAGCUUCAGAUUAUACCGAAUCGUACCCCAAACCGACACAGGUGGUCAGGUAGAGAAUACUAAGGCGCUUGAGAGAACUCGGGUGAAGGAACUAGGCAAAAUCGUACCGUAACUUCGGGAGAAGGUACGCUCCGAUUGGUGAUGGGACUUGCUCCCUAAGCUGAUUGGAGCCGCAGUGACCAGGUGGCUGGGACUGUUUAUUAAAAACACAGCACUGUGCAAAAUCGCAAGAUGACGUAUACGGUGUGACACCUGCCCGGUGCCGGAAGGUUAAUUGAUGGGGUUAUCUUCGGAGAAGCUCUUGAUCGAAGCCCCGGUAAACGGCGGCCGUAACUAUAACGGUCCUAAGGUAGCGAAAUUCCUUGUCGGGUAAGUUCCGACCUGCACGAAUGGUGUAACCAUGGCCACGCUGUCUCCACCCGAGACUCAGUGAAAUUGAAAUCGCAGUGAAGAUGCUGUGUACCCGCGGCUAGACGGAAAGACCCCGUGAACCUUUACUACAGCUUGGCACUGAACAUUGAACCUACAUGUGUAGGAUAGGUGGGAGACUUAGAAGAUGAGACGCUAGUUUUGUUGGAGUCGUCCUUGAAAUACCACCCUUGUAGUUUUGAUGUUCUAACGUUGGCCCCUGAAUCGGGGUUACGGACAGUGCCUGGUGGGUAGUUUGACUGGGGCGGUCUCCUCCCAAAGAGUAACGGAGGAGCACGAAGGUUGGCUAAGUACGGUCGGACAUCGUACGGUUAGUGUAAUGGUAGAAGCCAGCUUAACUGCGAGACAGACACGUCGAGCAGGUACGAAAGUAGGUCAUAGUGAUCCGGUGGUUCUGAAUGGAAGGGCCAUCGCUCAACGGAUAAAAGGUACUCCGGGGAUAACAGGCUGAUACCGCCCAAGAGUUCAUAUCGACGGCGGUGUUUGGCACCUCGAUGUCGGCUCAUCACAUCCUGGGGCUGAAGUCGGUCCCAAGGGUAUGGCUGUUCGCCAUUUAAAGUGGUACGCGAGCUGGGUUUAGAACGUCGUGAGACAGUUCGGUCCCUAUCUGCCGUGGGCGUUUGAGAAUUGAGAGGGGUUGCUCCUAGUACGAGAGGACCGGAGUGAACGAACCGCUGGUGUUCGGGUUGUCAUGCCAAUGGCAUUGCCCGGUAGCUACGUUCGGAACUGAUAAGCGCUGAAAGCAUCUAAGCGCGAAGCAGGCCUCGAGAUGAGUUCUCACUAGAGCUAUAAGCUCUCUGAAGGGCCGUUGAAGACUACAACGUUGAUAGGCAAGAUGUGGAAGCAUAGUGAUAUGUUAAGCUAACUUGUACUAAUUACCCGUGAGGCUUAACCAUACAACGCCAAACGCGUUU